CCUACGGGUGGCAGCAGUAGGGAAUUUUGCGCAAUGGGCGAAAGCCUGACGCAGCAACGCCGCGUGAUCGAGACGCCCUUCGGGGUGUAAAGAUCUGUCAGUGGGGACGAAACUUGACGGUACCCACAGAGGAAGCACCGGCUAACUCCGUGCCAGCAGCCGCGGUAAUACGGGGGGUGCAAGCGUUGUCCGGAAUCAUUGGGCGUAAAGAGUUCGUAGGCGGCACGUAAAGUCUGGUGUUAAAGGCAGGGGCUCAACUUCUGUACGGCACUGGAUACUUGCGAGCUAGAAUGCGGUAGAGGUAAAGGGAAUUCCUGGUGUAGCGGUGAAAUGCGUAGAUAUCACGAAGAACUCCGAUUGCGAAGGCAGCUUACUAAACUGCCACUGACAUUGAUGCUCGAAAGUGUGGGUAUCAAACAGGAUUAGAUACCCGGGUAGUC
RNAcentral lists this ribosomal RNA (440 nucleotides) under uncultured bacterium. RNAcentral's name for it is "partial 16S ribosomal RNA". It matches the Rfam family "Bacterial small subunit ribosomal RNA", at positions 338 to 795 of the family's 1533-position model. The record is from RNAcentral.